AAAAAAAAUCAUCAUACUCUAAUAAGCUGACGCUGCGCCUGAAGCUGUGUCAGCAGACUUUUUUUUUAUUUUUGCCAACAAUUUGAUGUCUAAUUGCAAAAGCAAACGUUCAUGGUUCAUCUCUGGAGGAACCGUGUGUUCACCGAUUGCCGGAAAAGAUAUGGAGAAAGUGGAAUACGGAGAAAAACACUGAAAAAACUCCCAGGGAGGAGAGAGUCUGCCUGCAGCGUCCGCUUCACUCUGCAUGGGCCACCAUCCUUCACUGGAUCACCUUUACCAUGGUGUCCCCGUCCAGACUUGUGUCCUCCUCUUUCUUCUCCUCCUCCUCCUCCUCUUCUUCGUCACCUCUUGGACCCUGGACUCUUCUCCACCUAAAAUGCUUUGCUAAAGCUGGUAAAAUGGAACCAAAUCAACUGUUCAAUGGAUUUGGUCCCCUUCAACCAGCUGUAGCUGUGCAUUGAUCACACGACCGCGCACGAGUGCAAGUGCUGAGGGACGAGGGACGAGGGACGAGCCAAAGGACAGAGAAAACGCUGGGACUGGAAGAGCAGAGCUCAUUGACUGGGAACCACUUUUCUUUUUUUCUUCUUUUAAAUCUGAAAGUGAAGCUGCACAAUUGAGCCGUGGAAAGAAACAGAACAUGCAUCAGUUGCUUCACCUUUGUGGAUUUGUCGCUAUCAUACACACACACACACACACACACACACAUUACCCAAAAUGACUAGAGCUAUAUAAAGAAAUCCAGGUAAGUAAUUAUAGAUAGUGUCUCUUGGUGACUUUCUGGAUUAGAUGUGUACUGAUGUAAUUGUUCUGUGAAAACCUUGUAUAUGUUUGUGUGUGUGUGUGUGUGUGUGUGUGUCCUAUUGCACAUGUCUAAUCAAUAAAGUUUCAUCAUGACGUUGUUAGAAAGUGCUGAGGUGGUCUUUGCUUUGAAGCGUGGUCUUCGGGGAGUUCCCCGGCGAUGUACACGGCUCACUGGUGUAUACAUAAGUAAAUGUACAGCAUUAAUGCAAAUGAUGGCAAAGUUUAAUCAGGAGCAGCGCGUUCUGCAUUGUGUACUCUGCUGCCAACCUUCCUUACUAUUCAUCUUGAUGGAUUUAUUUACUGAUUGAAGAGCACAUUGCUCACCAAACAUUCAUUUUAUUCUAGUUGGUCCAAAAACACUUAACAAAUAGAUACUUUAUUCAGCCCUGAAGGGAAAAUGCCUGUGUUGUCCUCAUUGUGACAGAUUAAGAACAUUUACACCAAAUAAAAUGUCUUAUGGUGACAGAAUGGAAUGAUUGUUUAAGUUUGCUGCCUGUAUGUCUGAAGGCUUGGAGGAAUAAAACAUCACUUUAGUCUAUUCUGA
Long non-coding RNA from Solea senegalensis (Senegalese sole), 1348 nucleotides. RefSeq lists it as uncharacterized. NCBI's taxonomy places the organism in Eukaryota, Metazoa, Chordata, Actinopteri, Pleuronectiformes, Soleidae. The transcript has 3 exons. The record is from RefSeq and is a predicted model, not a curated record.